RNAcentral lists this ribosomal RNA (501 nucleotides) under uncultured bacterium. RNAcentral describes it as "partial 16S ribosomal RNA". It matches the Rfam family "Bacterial small subunit ribosomal RNA", at positions 30 to 523 of the family's 1533-position model. The record is from RNAcentral.
AUUGAACGCUGGCGGCAGGCUUAACACAUGCAAGUCGAGCGGGGGAAGGUAGCUUGCUACCGGACCUAGCGGCGGACGGGUGAGUAAUGCUUAGGAAUCUGCCUAUUAGUGGGGGACAACAUCUCGAAAGGGAUGCUAAUACCGCAUACGUCCUACGGGAGAAAGCAGGGGAUCUUCGGACCUUGCGCUAAUAGAUGGGCCUAAGUCGGAUUAGCUAGUUGGUGGGGUAAAGGCCUACCAAGGCGACGAUCUGUAGCGGGUCUGAGAGGAUGAUCCGCCACACUGGGACUGAGACACGGCCCAGACUCCUACGGGAGGCAGCAGUGGGGAAUAUUGGAAAAUGGGGGGAACCCUGAUCCAGCCAUGCCGCGUGUGUGAAGAAGGCCUUAUGGUUGUAGAGCACUUUAAGCGAGGAGGAGGCUACUCUAGUUAAUACCUAGGGAUAGUGGACGUUACUCGCAGAAUAAGCACCGGCUAACUCUGUGCCAGCCGCCGCGGUAA